Molecule: long non-coding RNA, 377 nt
Organism: Stegodyphus dumicola
Lineage: Eukaryota; Metazoa; Arthropoda; Arachnida; Araneae; Eresidae
Source: RefSeq, a predicted model, not a curated record
CAGAUCUAGGUCAAAGGAGAAAAAAAAUUUUAUUGGAAGUUUGAAAAGGAAGUUAAGCUUUCGUAAACCACGGUCGAAAUCAGCUGAAAAUAGAUCAGAAUCUGCAGAAUCUAAUUAUAGUCAUGGGAGUAGUCGCAGUGCUUCCACAGAUCGCUUUAAACAUCUUCCUGGUCAUAAACUUUCUCCGUUUAAAGGAAAAUUUAUCGGACAAAAACAUUUAGCUGUUCCAGGCAGCACUCGUAGUAGCUUAAGUGAAGCUUCAGGAAUAAGCGCCUCUUCCAGCCGAACCUACAUCAAUGAAAAUUCAACUUUGGUGGUAGAAACUAAUGAAAAUGGUAUUAUUAGGUAAGUGGUUUCAUAAAUUGAAUAAUUGAAGU